GGACGAACGCUGGCGGCGUGUUUAACACAUGCAAGUCUAACGAGCAGGCUACGGUCUUUGGUGGCGGACGGGUGAGUAAAGCAUAAGUGACCUACCCAGAAGAGGGGGAUAACCCUUUGAAAGAAGGGGUAAUACCGCAUAGAACAGGGAACUGGAAAGGAUUGGGACCUUCGGGCCAAUUGCUUUUGGCGGGGCUUAUGUCUCAUUAGCUAGUUGGUAGAGGUAACGGCCUACCAAGGCGAAGAUGAGUAGCUGUUCUGAGAGGAUGAUCAGCCACACUGGAACUGAGACACGGUCCAGACUCCUACGGGAGGCAGCAGUGGGGAAUUUUGCGCAAUGGGCGGAAGCCUGACGCAGCACCGCCGCGUGGGUGAAGAAGGCUUUUGGGUUGUAAAGCCCUUUCGAGUUGGAACAUGGGGAUUAUUCAGAAUGAGGAUAAUCCUUGAGGGUACAACAGGAAGAAGCACCGGCUAACUUCGUGCCAGCAGCCGCGGUGAUACGAGGGGUGCAAGCGUUGUUCG
This 521-nucleotide ribosomal RNA is filed under the name uncultured bacterium. Its description in RNAcentral is "bacterial SSU rRNA". It matches the Rfam family "Bacterial small subunit ribosomal RNA", at positions 27 to 547 of the family's 1533-position model. The record is from RNAcentral.